UACGAAGGGGGCUAGCGUUGUUCGGAUUUACUGGGCGUAAAGCGCACGUAGGCGGAUCGUUAAGUCGGGGGUGAAAUCCCGGGGCUCAACCCCGGAACUGCCUUCGAUACUGGCGAUCUUGAGUCCGGAAGAGGUGAGUGGAACUCCUAGUGUAGAGGUGGAAUUCGUAGAUAUUAGGAAGAACACCAGUGGCGAAGGCGGCUCACUGGUCCGGUACUGACGCUGAGGUGCGAAAGCGUGGGGAGCAAACAGG
This 253-nucleotide ribosomal RNA is filed under the name uncultured bacterium. Its description in RNAcentral is "partial 16S ribosomal RNA". It matches the Rfam family "Bacterial small subunit ribosomal RNA", at positions 524 to 776 of the family's 1533-position model. The record is from RNAcentral.